GAUGAACGCUGGCGGCGUGCCUAAUACAUGCAAGUCGAGCGAACGGACGAGAAGCUUGCUUCUCUGAUGUUAGCGGCGGACGGGUGAGUAACACGUGGAUAACCUACCUAUAAGACUGGGAUAACUUCGGGAAACCGGAGCUAAUACCGGAUGAUAUUUUGAACCGCAUGGUUCAAAAGUGAAAGACGGUCUUGCUUUCACUUAUAGAUGGAUCCGCGCUGCAUUAGCUAGUUGGUAAGGUAACGGCUUACCAAGGCAACGAUGCAUAGCCGACCUGAGAGCGUGAUCGGCCACACUGGAACUGAGACACGGUCCAGACUCCUACGGGAGGAAGCAGUAGGGAAUCUUCCGCAAUGGGCGAAAGCCUGACGGAGCAACGCCGCGUGAGUGAUGAAGGUCUUCGGAUCGUAAAACUCUGUUAUUAGGGAAGAACAUAUGUGUAAGUAACUGUGCACAUCUUGACGGUACCUAAUCAGAAAGCCACGGCUAACUACGUG
Molecule: ribosomal RNA, 497 nt
Filed under: uncultured bacterium
Lineage: Bacteria
Description: partial 16S ribosomal RNA
Rfam family: Bacterial small subunit ribosomal RNA
Source: RNAcentral